CCACUGCUAUCGGAAUAGGACUAAGACAUGCUAGUUGAGCGCUUCCAGCCAAUACGGGAGCGCAGCGCACAGCUCAGUAACACGUGGCUAAUCUGCCCUUGGGACCGGAACACCCCCGGGAAACUGGGGCUAAUUCUCGAUAGGUGAAGAACUCUGGAAUGAGUCUUUGCCAAAAAGACGUUUACGUUAUGCUCGUAGGCGUCGCCCAAGGAUGAGGCCGCGACCGAUCAGGUUGUUGGUGAGGUAAUGGCUCACCAAGCCUUUUACCGGUGCGGGCCGUGAGAGCGGGAGCCCGGAGAUGGGCACUGAGACAAGGGCCCAGGCCCUACGGGGCGCAGCAGUCGCGAAAACUUUGCAAUACACGAAAGUGUGACAGGGCUAUCCCGAGUGCCAUCCGCUGAGGAAGGCUUUUACCCAGUCUAGAACGCUGGGGGAAUAAGGAGAGGGCAAGUCUGGUGUCAGCCGCCGCGGUAAUACCAGCUCUCCGAGUGGUGUGGAUGUUUAUUGGGCCUAAAGCAUCCGUAGCUGGCUGAGUUAGUCCCUUGUUAAAUCCACCGAAUUAAUCGUUGGAUCGCGGGGGAUACUGCUCGGCUAGGGGACGAGAGAGGCAGACGGUAUUUCUGGGGUAGGGGUGAAAUCCUAUAAUCCCAGGAGGACCACCAGUGGCGAAAGCUGUCUGCUAGAACGCGCCCGACGGUGAGGGAUGAAAGCUGGGGGAGCGAACCGGAUUAGAUACCCGGGUAGUCCCAGCUGUAAACGAU
This 761-nucleotide ribosomal RNA is filed under the name uncultured archaeon. RNAcentral describes it as "bacterial SSU rRNA". It matches the Rfam family "Archaeal small subunit ribosomal RNA", at positions 24 to 761 of the family's 1478-position model. The record is from RNAcentral.